This 660-nucleotide ribosomal RNA is filed under the name Triticum aestivum (bread wheat). RNAcentral's name for it is "partial small subunit ribosomal RNA". The record is from RNAcentral. Lineage: Eukaryota; Viridiplantae; Streptophyta; Magnoliopsida; Poales; Poaceae.
AUGGGCCUAAUGGGCCCGUUAGUCUUAGGGUUAAUUAGAGAUAAGAGUCGCUUGCUUAGGGGUCAAGUUGACUGUCCUUUUCCUCCAUCGGAUAAGAUUGCCAUAAAUUUUGUUCGAACGGGAAAAGAAGAAAUAGUACCAAUGGAAGAGAUGAAGAUGUCAUGGGUGCCUUAUGUUCCUCUUCAGGACCGGUUUGGCUGGAUUGAAAGUUUGAAAACAAAAAUCUUCACUCUCUGUUGCACCCAGCGGAGGUCUGCGCUGAACCGAAUGGAAACUGAGAGAGCCAACAAGUUCUACUACUACACGCCCUACAUACCACUAAAUCCUCCUGAAGAUGAAGGUGGCACAGUUGUCCGCGUCAUAUAUCCUCUAGAAUCCCCGAUAGUUUGUGAUUUUCACUUGGAAUUGGAUGAUUACAAGGUUUUAGCUCAUAAGCUAGUCGAAGAUGAGGGGUUGCCAGAGGAUGAGAGGGAAAAAAUUGAGGCUGAAGAAGCCAGGAAGAAAGCUAUUGAAGAUAUGGACCCUAAGCAAAGAGAGGCAUUUGAAAACAUGGAACUUUACAAAUUAUAUCCCGUGAAAACCCCGGAUACACCUGAUGUUAACAAUAUGAAGUCGAGGUACAUCAACAGAUAUUAUGGCCGCGCACAUUAUCUGAUGUAA